GUUUUUUUCUCUUGGUCUGACAGUAUCUUCAGUUCUCCAUGGAUUUUUGCCACUUGAUCUUAUGGCCUACUACGUGAUCAUACCAUUUAACCAAACUGCUAAGCUUCAUUUGCUAAGACAUCGCCACUUGUCCCCUGGAGGAGGGAGAAAAAGGCCUAUGAGUAAAGAGAUACCAAUUCUGCCCCCAGUGAGAACCACUGUGCUACAUGAAUAGAGAAAAUUGCUCUUCGAACACGAGCAAGAAAAGUUGCAAGCAUACACACAACGGAAAAACAGCACUGAAAGGAAGAUGUGAAGAAAUAUACUUAGAGCAUUUUUCAUAUUCCAUUUAAUUCAUAAAAGAGGUAAGAGCAUAUUUCACCUCCUCACCCCAAAUGAAGAUUUUUUUUAAAAUGUGAAAACCUGUAGUAUAAUUUUAAGACUGAUUUUUCACACAAGCCUUUGGAAAUAGGUUAGCUUUUUACAAGAACAUCACAUCACAUUAGUGUUAUCUUGGUUUUAGUAUUAUGCUAUUUUUUUUCUGGAUAAAUAAGGACUUAACACCAGCAUUUUUUUAUUUGCUUUGGUUCACAAAAAAAUAUGAUUAGGAACACACACACCCACACACACACCCACCCACCCAACCCCACACACAUAUUCACACAUACCAAAAUCCUCAUUCAUUUCUUAAUGAAAUUAUAUUAACUCCUUAAUUUAACCCUGUGAUGGGAUCCAGGGGAUAGAUACUAAUUAAAUAAAAUCAGCUCUAUGGCCAACAGUGUUAUGAUGAAACAUGAGCAAAUUACUAUAUACUUUCAAUUGGCAUGGUCUUUUAGAAAAAUCCUCCUAUUUUAGGUGACUAUUUUCAGACAGGCUUUCUGACAUCACAAUAUGGCGGCCUACAGCAAUUGAGGCACCAUAUCGCAGGUUAUGAACAAGGCCAAAAAUAUAUUUUCCCUCAACCUUAGAAUACAAGUCUUGGGCUUCACUGUGAUUGGAUAACUUAAGUCAAGUGUCAGUCUCUCAACCAUUCCCUUUGGCUAGGACUAGGGAUUUUGCUGAUUGGCUUAGACCCAAAUGGAGACUUGAGCCCUACUAAGCCCAACCCUGGAACAUAAAGACUCCCUAAGGUAAUGGAGUCCUAGAGAAAAUAAUGGAAUAAAAAUGUAAUGAAAUCAAGACUGAGUUACCUAUGUUCACUAUUUUGGUGAUGGGUUCACCAAAAGCCCAAACCUCAGCAUGGCUCAAUAUUCCCAUUAACAAACCUGUACAUGUACAUCCUGAAUCUGAC
Molecule: long non-coding RNA, 1270 nt
Filed under: Homo sapiens (human)
Lineage: Eukaryota; Metazoa; Chordata; Mammalia; Primates; Hominidae
Description: HSALNT0312655
Source: RNAcentral